This 557-nucleotide long non-coding RNA is filed under the name Olea europaea (common olive). Its description in RNAcentral is "long non-coding RNA (OEUR_LNC007052)". The record is from RNAcentral. Lineage: Eukaryota; Viridiplantae; Streptophyta; Magnoliopsida; Lamiales; Oleaceae.
AAUGACUACAUAUACUUUCUCCUCUUCAUUUUCCAUAAUUCCCUACCCUUUAUUUUCUUUGCAACGCUCACAAAGGACUAUCGAAAAUUGAUUCGAUUCUCCUUCUAUUUAUCCUCUCGGGAAGCUCCUUGCCAGCAAGGUGGCUCAAUCAUGGUAGGUUCCGUGAAGUAGGCACGAGAAAGUAUCAAGGAUCUUUAAUUUGAAGUGUGGAAAAUGUGAAAUUUGUAGCAAUAAAUGCAAGGCUUCGUAUCUGUGGGAAAAUGGUUAAUAUUUCAAAAGGAGAUUAGCGAAAAGGGUGGUUUGAACUUGAUUUGUUUAAUUAUACUUUGCAAGUCGGCCAUGACUUUUACUCCUACUUACCUUUUCGUGAGGGCAUAAAUUGAGACAUGGGGUCCUCUUCUUUACUUAAGAAAUCUGGGAUUCUCGUGGUUUAACAUCAAGUUUUGGAAUUUUUCUUGGUGUUUUCUUCUGUAUGUGUACUUAAUCCAUAACUAAACAGUGUUUGGCCCCAAUUUUAAGAUUUCUUUUUUCCCUAAAUUUAUUUUUUAAUUACACAU